UUUUUAGAAUAAGAAUGUUCUAUGUCAUAGUUGGGACAUACUUAUACUAAAA
RNAcentral lists this microRNA precursor (52 nucleotides) under Marmota monax (woodchuck). Lineage: Eukaryota; Metazoa; Chordata; Mammalia; Rodentia; Sciuridae. The record is from RNAcentral.